UUUUUUUUUGUCUUUCAAGUUCCUCAUAGUGAUCAGCAGAUAUAAAUCCCGAGUAACUCAAAGAAUAGAGCUAUGCUCCCCGGCGACGGCACCAGAAAAUAGUCUUGAUAACCCACAAGUAUAGGGGAUCGCAACAGUUUUCGAGGGUAGAGUAUUCAACCCAAAUUUAUUGAUUCGACACAAGGGGAGCCAAAGAAUAUUCUCAAGUAUUAGCAGUUGAGUUGUCAAUUCAACCACACCUGGAAGACUUAAUAUCUGCAGUAAAAUAUUUAGUAGCAAAGUAGUAUGGAAGUGACGGCAACGGUGGCAAAAGUAACGGUAGCAGUUUUGUAGUAAUUGUAACAGUGGCAACGGAAAAGUAACUAAGCAAAGAUCAAUAUGUGAAAAGCUCGUAGGCAAUGGAUCAAUGAUGAAGAAUUAUAUCGGAUGUGAUUCCUCAUGCAACAGUUAUAACAUAGGGUGACAUAGAACUAGCUCCAGUUCAUCAAUAUAAUGUAGGCAUGUAUUCCAAAUAUAGUCAUACAUGCUUAUGGAAAAGAACUUGCGUGACAUCUUUUGUCCUACCCUCCCGUGGCAGUGGGGUCCUAUUGAAAACUAAGGGAUAUUAAGGCCUCCUUUUACUAGAGUACCGGACCAAAGCAUUAACAAUUAGUGAAUACAUGAACUCCUCAAACUACGGUCAUCACCGAGAGUGGUCCCGAUUAUUGUCACUUCGGGGUUACCGGAUCAUAACACAUAGUAGGUGACUAUUGACUUGCAAGAUAGGAUCAAGAACUCACAUAUAUUCAUGAAAACAUAAUAGGUUCAGAUCUGAAAUCAUGGCACUCGGGCCCUAGUGAUAAGCAUUAAGCAUAGCAAAGUCAUAGCAACAUCCAACCCAUCACCGUCCAGCAAUAGAUACUAGGGAUCAAACCCUAACAAAACUAACUCAAUUACAUGGUAAAUCUCAUCCAACCCAUCACCGUCCAGCAAGCCUAUGAUGGAAUUACUCACGCAUGGCGGUGAGCAUCAUGAAAUUGGUGAUGGAGGAACGUUGAUGAUGACGAUGGUGACGGAUUCCCCUCUCUGGAGCCCCGAAUGGACUCCAGAUCAGCCCUCCCGAGAGAGAUUAGGGCUUGGCGGCAGCUCCGUAUCGUAAAACGCGAUGAAUCAUUCUCUCUUAUUUUUUUUUGUCCCCGGGCGUGAAUAUAUAGAGUUGGGGUUGAGGUCGGUGGAGCCUCAGGGGGGCACGAGGCAGGGGGCGCGCCCUCCACCCUCGUGGACAAGGUGUGGGCCCCUGGUGUUGAUUAUUUCGCUAGUAUUUUUUAUUAAUUCCAAAAAUAUUCUCCGUGAAGUUUCAGGUCAUUCCGAGAACUUUUAUUUCUGCACAAAAAUAACACCAUGGCAAUUCUGCUGAAAACAGUGUCAGUCCGGGUUAGUUCCAUUCAAAUGAUGCAAGUUAGAGUCCAAAAUAAGGGCAAAAGUAUUUGGAAAAGUAGAUAUAGUGGAUUCAUGUGGCAAAACUGGUUUAAAGGAUUUUGGAUGCACAAGUAUAGAUCAUACUUAGUGCAAAGUGAAGGCUAGCAAAAGAUUGGGAAGCGACCAACCAAGAAACGAAUAAUCUCAUAAGCAAGCAUUAAGCAUAAUUAACACCGAAUAAUGCACCACAAGUAGGAUAUGAUUUUUAUUGCAUGAUUAUUGACUUUCGUGCAUGCAUAGGGAAUCACAAACCUUAACACCAAUAUUCUUGCACGCAUAGGACAGCUUGGAAAUAGUGUCAGGGCAUCAUUUGAAUUUCUAUGAUGAAUUUCGAAUAAUAUAUGCAUGAAUACAUAACAGUGCAAAGAACACAUGCCUUGACUUUCACACCAAUAUACUUCUCUAUACUACCUUCAGGAUCUGGUUCACGAGCCGCGUCCUCAUCAAUGUCAUCAUCGCCAGCAUCACCACCCUACAGAAAUGGAGUGAGUUAGGAAUUAGAAGUGCAAGAAACAGGACCAAAGUUGGUGGGUAAAGUAAGGAAAUCGAAACCUUUUUCCUCAUCAUAACCAAGUAUCCGUGGCCACCUUGCACUGAUUAAGAGAACACUUCACGGAAGUGCCUCGCAAACUCCUUUAAAUAUGUGUUCAAUUGAUUCAUCCUUCCUUUGGUCUAAAACUGAUAUCAACUCUCUAAUUUUCUGCAAUACCAAUCAGCAGAUUUUAUGAGAUUCUAGUCUUAGGACAAUCAAAAGGGAAACAAGUUGUGCUGAUCGGAAAGCUUACCUCGUCAUCAGCAUCAAGUUCAGCGCGUCUUCUCCGCUGUUCAGUGAAGUUCAGGAAGGACUAAUUACUUCAAAUGCUCAGUGCAGUCAUAAAGCAGCUGCCGCUUGUUCUUUCUCUUGUACCUUUAUUAUUGGCCAGAAAAUAACUACAGCAUGGUUAACACUAUAAAAAAGGUAUUCUGCAGCUGAGUUAGCCAGUUUAGCAAUGUAACAAAUGGAAAUAUAGGUUUCAAAAGCAUCAGCAGGCAAUGAGUCCAAAUCUCGGAUUUUCUUCAUACACUCAUCUUGCUUGACAAGAUACGUGCUCCUGCUGCUCAUCAACUUUUCCAAGUCCACCAUCUUGCACAGUCUGCUCCAAAGUAGCUUCAAAAGCCUGUGUUUAGAUGUACAUGACAACACAUAACAAGUCAACAGUAGCUAUACAAGUUAAACCCCAAGAAAACACUAUAGCUGUAUUAAGUACCUUCAGAUCAUCCCCUUGUUUUUCCGUUGCUCCAUCUUUCUUGAAUCGGCAUUAACAGCAUCGACAUUGGCUGCCCAAAAGAUCAUUUAAGGGGGUUAGGGGGCAACAUUUGAGGAUGGUGUCUCGAUGGUGAAAGAGGUGGUACCUGAUAUGUCCUGCCUUCUAGCGCUUUUCACAUAUUACACCCCGAUUCUGAAGCAUGGUGUCGCCAACUUCAUGUCUGAUGUUAAAGAAAGCCGGUGCACAUGGUAAUGCCUUAUAGUUUCCCAUAGAUUCAGUGAUGUCCUUCUACAUUAAAAUGUCAUUCAACUCAUAUGGCCACCUUGUUAAUUAUCUGAAAUGCAGCACCGCUUCUCCUGUAUGUUAGUUUUUACUAGUGCAUAAGAUUUCAGGCAGACGAUUGAGGAACUAAAAGCUGCAUAACAGCAUAGACAUAGACAUAUAUCCACAGCUAUAUUUUACAUGACAAUAGUUUACACGUUGUACAGUGAUGUUAGUAAUGUGCCACUUUGUUGCUGUUGUGAAGUUCUAUUCUCACUGUAACAAUCAAGUUGCAUAUGUAUUACCAUGCUGCAGGUCUUGUGCUACCUGAUGCUCCUCUGGGAGACAGAUAUUUUGAGAUCGAGGCUGCCAAGAACAACCUUGAGCUGGCAGGCUCUCUUUUGCAUUAUCCAUUUUUCCAUCUCUUGUGUCUCAACAAAAUAGGGUUGAAUAUUCUCCUUAACUCUCUCUACCUUUGAAGAAAGGCCCCGCUUGAUAUUUCUUAUUUAAGCGCUGAUGCAUAGUGAUGAGUUCCGCUUAUUCGGCUCAUUGCUUUGCUGUAAUUUUAAGAUGUUGAUUAGUCUGGAUUCUGGAAUACUGAAGAAAUACUCAGCAUCAGGUGUUGAUUAAUUGGGAAUAUUAAAGAUGCCUCUUUUGUUGCUAAGUUGCUUACAUUAUUUUUGUUAUGUCUUACAUUAAUGCGUGCAGGUGUUACUAAAAAGACCAACUACACCAACAGAAAGAAUGGGGAGAAUUAAAAAGGCUUCAGAAGGAUUUGUUUAUCUUGUAAGUGUCCAUAACUCCGAAUCAAUUUUGCUCUCUUAAAAUCUGUUCUCAUAUAGCAUAUUCUCCUUAUUGCUGAUCAGAAAGAUCUCAUAAUUGCCAACAUGGUGUGUAUUUUAAGACUUAAGAAGAGUAGAGUGGUUUAUCAUCUUAAAUUUUGUUGAGGGAAUUUAUCAUCUGAAGUUGACUUCAUAAACUUAAGAAAGAGACAUGCUUCUGCCCUUAAGAAGGGUGCAUUUUAAAACUUAAGAAGAAUACAGUGGUUUAUCAUCUAAUUUUUGUUGACAGAAUUUAUCAUCUGAAGUUGACUUCAUAAACUGAAGGACACAUGCUUCUGUCCUGUCAUGCUUUUUCUCUUCAACAGAGUCUGGCUUGACAUGCUUUUGUGCUGGCAUGUAUCCUGGUGCUAGCUGUGCUAAUUCCUAAACUGAAAAUUAUAAUGAAAUGUACACUGCUGUUUACAAAGACUGAGGCGCCUUGGUUAUGUUAUGACACUUCUCCAUUUGGCCUUAUGAAUCAUGGACAAACGGGAUCCACUUGACAUUGUUGAGGGUUUUUUUUUUUUUUUUGCGGGUGACAUUGUUGAGGUUGACUAUUCGUGAUUCUACUGAAUCUAUUUGAGCAUAACUUGUCACAUGAUAGGCUAUUUGCUAAGUUGCAGCAAUAUUUGCUAUUCAGGUAAGCACUACUGGAGUUACCGGCACAUGUGCAAACAUAAGUUUCAAGGUGGAAGCUUUCUUCGGCAAAUUAAGCAGGUUUGCAAAAUCUUUCUUUAUUGCUACUCAAUGAACUAGUUUUGGUCUGGUAUAAAUGAUGCAGAUAGCAUCUCUUUGUCCCAAUCCCAUGUCAACGAUUUCCUUAUGUUUUAAAAAAUAAAAUUAAACAACAUUCAUCAGUGUUUAUCAUUGUACAAGUGGCUUCAACAUGGCAGUGCUAGUACAUAUAGUGUGAAUAAAUGGAGGAAUGACCCAGUUUAAUAUGCCUGUCGUUUGUUUAUUUUGCUAUAAACUUUUUGAACAGUCGGCUGUAGGAGAGACCCAGGCACUAAAUUUCUAUAUAAGUUAAAAAUACUUCCUAGGUUGAGCAAGAACUGUCAUGUCAAAGUCAACUUCUUGGAUGAUAGAUCUUUCUGGUUUGAUAUACCUAUCCAUUUUUGCUUUUUUUACUAUAAAUAGAUGCUAAUUAUGUUUUCAGUUAAAUAGCCAGGAAGAUUUGCCAUCCAGUUUGUAAAAUUAGCUGGGCAGUAGUACAAUCUUAUAAGAUCAAACAACCAAUCAAAAUAAAAAUCAAUUUCCUGGUUGACCUGAACCUCACAUAUAGACAUGAACUCCAUUCUCAAAGGAAACCAAACAUCUACCUUUUGACUAAAGUUGCUGUCACAUUUUUUUUGUAGUUUAUGUCAUGAAAAACAAAGCAUAUAUUUUCAUUUGCAUUCAUAUUCAUGAUGUUAUCGCUAUUCAAUGACAAGCAUACCUUCACAAAAGUUUCCAGUGGCUGUAUCAAAGUUUACAAGCCACUGCAUAUGAUGCUAUACUAGUCUAGUCAGGAAUUCAUUGCAGAACUAAAAUGGCCACGGAGAGCUUAUCCAGAACAUGGACACUAUGGGGGUGUUAACAUUGAUGGUGAUGAAAUUGAACCUGUGUGGCAUUACAUAUCCAAAUCUUCACUAAUGGUGUCACAGAAUGAGUUGUGCUAUUCUCUUCCUCUACAAGGAAAAUAAAAUAUAAUUGUGUUCACAGACUAGCACGUAUUGGUAUUGGUUGACACAAAUGCGGGCAGAUUUCACUGAAGGAAUCUCCCUGAAUGUACAAAAAUUCAGAGAAGUUGAUCCAAGAUUGCAAGGUACUAUUAAAUCACUACCAAGGAGACAUCCGUUUCAAAUAACAUAUGACAGAGUACUACUUUCAAAUGCAUCGGAACAGGACGAUAUAAAUAAUUUAACUGUGAUCCAUAACAAGUUGCAGAGUGAAGGUACCUAUCCAAUCAACACCCAAAACCAUCGAUAUUUGGACAUCUGAUUCUCAUGAAGGCACCGGAGCCACGCCGAGUCGGCAAAUGUGAAGCUGCUCCAAAAUUCACGGAGGAACGGGCGGCCUCUCCACAAAACAGGGAGUGUACGGGUGAAAUCUUUGCGCCCAGCGGUCUCCAAGAGAGCAGACAACAUCCAGUUCACCGGUGUCCAUAUUGUAGGACAUAAGCAAUGCUUCCGGCGCCACAUCUUGAAGGAAUAUCAGAUUAUUGCACUCUGGAUGGAUCGCAACCGGCUGGUAGAACUCGUUGGGUGCACGGCAAGGGCUUCCUAGCAGUUGAAGAAUGCUGGCAGUACACCUCAGGGUCCACAGCCCGGUAGCAUGAUCCUCGAGAACCCAGACCCAGAGCCGGCAUUUACCUUGAUUUUCUACACGCGCGGUGUAUAGGCGCCCCCGCGACAGCCCGAAGAAACCGUGGUUGCUGGUGUUCGGCAUACGGAUCCUCCUCCAGGUUUCCCCCUCUGCGUCAAAAGUGACCAUGGAGCGUACCACUCCCUCCCGGUCCACCUUGACCGCCGGAUGGCAGACGGCCAGAUGCAGAGACCCAUUGAAGUAGACGCAUCCCGAUUCCUCGCCGAUCAUGAGGUUCUGGGAGCUCCACUUGCUCCCAAUGGAGGUCCACUGCCCGGUGUCUGAAGAGUAGACCGCCACCCUCUGAACCCCGGCGAAGCUUUGCACGAACACAAACACCUUGAAGCGGCCGGGAGCUAGCGGCGGGGUCGAAGCAGAGGCGGGCGGUGUUGAGGCGCGUCAUCUUCUUGUUCCGGGGCACCGGCAGCACGGCCCAGAUCUCCUUGGUGGCAGGGUUGCACACCGCGAAAUCCGCCUCGUCGCUCAUGUCAAACUUCCAGCAGUAGCAGACGAGGAUGCCGCUGCAGCAGUGGAUGGGCGUGACGUGGCGGUAGCCGCGCACGAAGGUGAGGGACGGGUCGUCGACCAUCGGCCGGCCCCACCCGGACAGGCAGGGGCGGAGCCAGCGCCCAGCCACCCUGCCCGGGCUCGUUGGCUGUGAGACAUUGUACAUGCAUGAUAAACAAUGGACAGAUUUUACUGCUAGUCGGGAUUUACCUGAGCACUAGUGCAUGCAUAGAUUGAUUCAAAAAGGGUCCACGUAUGCACGUAUGUGAUAAACAAUGGGUUAGCUUAUUUUUAGGGGUAACAAUGGGCUAGUUAAUUUUUUUACUAAGAGUCCGACUAAUAUUUAAGUAAUGGGCUAACUCCAGCCGAGGAGCAAAGCCAAGGUUAGCACUAUCUUUUUUUUUGGAACGAAGGCUCAAAAAGAGCCCGGCUUUGAAUUAACAAAGCCAUCAACCGGCCACGAUUACAAACUCGGAACGAGCACAAGAAAGAAAAGAAAACGGCAAGAUACAAAGGCGUUGGAAAGCAGCUCACAAGCCUCCACCACGCCAAGCUAAAAGAUCAACAGGAGAAGCACCGCUCGGCGAUGAAGACGUCCUCAACGCGAACAGAGCGCCGUGGAAGAAGUAGAAUGCCCGCACUGGAUCAACAUGUCCAACGACGAAGCAGGGAACGCUAUCGCCUAAGCGCCAGCAGCCCCGACCCAACACAUCCGCCCAGCUCCAAUGUCAAAGAAGGCCCCUGCCUCCUCGCCUGGCUCGAAGGCGCUGCACCGUUGACAAGAGAGCAGUUCACCCUAGAACCUGGGAGGAAGUCGCCGGCAGGCUGCAUCUGGAAAGAAACCAAGCUCGCCCAACAAGUCACGAACAGAUCAACAGGAGCAGGGCACCGCCAAAGCCCACGGAUUGAUCACGAAAAAGGAAGAGCUGCCGGAACGGACGAAGACGAGCAGCAGCUAGACCUCCCAAGAAGGCAGUGAGAAUCGAAGUGCGAGUACCGGAAAGCUCUCAAGGUGGGCUGAGAAGGGCCGCCGUAGGAGGGGAACCCGAUCCCCUCUCGCCCAAGAGGCCACGGGCCAGGCAAGGCACCCCGCAGCAGACCAGAGAGCUCCCGAUAGGCACUUAGGAAGACCGCGUCGUCGUGGGAGGUCAGCAACCGCCGCCGCUGCACAUGAAACAAAUCUCGAAGAAACCCCACGCCCACCUAGCUCCCAAAAGCGGCGCCUUCAGGAAGGGCGCGACGCCAAGGGCGCUGCCACCGCCCAUCAAAGAUGAGGAUUUCUCCCGGGAGACAAGGAGGGGGAGGGGGGAGAGGAACAUACCCUGGCGGCGCCUCCAAGGAGGGGAACGGCGCCCUCGGGCAUCACCGCCGUCGAGACCAGCAAGGCCGGCCUGGGAUUUCUCCCGGUCUUCACAUCCCCGCCAACCACUCCGCAACGACACGAGAACCUGCGCCCCACGACGAAGCAGACCAGAUCUGGCUGUGGCAAGGCUCAACUAGAGACCGGAGAUGCAGGGGCGGCCAGAUCUGGCGCCGCAAUUGCCGGCACGCCCUGGCUCUCGACCUCCGGUUCGCCCGCCAUCCACAUCGCCGAGGUCGCCAGUCCACACCCGUGCCACCGCCUGCCGAAGGCCGGUGACACCACUCCGACCAGGGCCGCCGCCCCGGAGCACGCAGCCCCCUGCAGCAGCAGAGCAGCNNNNNNNNNNNNNNNNNNNNNNNNNNNNNNNNNNNNNNNNNNNNNNNNNNNNNNNNNNNNNNNNNNNNNNNNNNNNNNNNNNNNNNNNNNNNNNNNNNNNNNNNNNNNNNNNNNNNNNNNNNNNNNNNNNNNNNNNNNNNNNNNNNNNNNNNNNNNNNNNNNNNNNNNNNNNNNNNNNNNNNNNNNNNNNNNNNNNNNNNNNNNNNNNNNNNNNNNNNNNNNNNNNNNNNNNNNNNNNNNNNNNNNNNNNNNNNNNNNNNNNNNNNNNNNNNNNNNNNNNNNNNNNNNNNNNNNNNNNNNNNNNNNNNNNNNNNNNNNNNNNNNNNNNNNNNNNNNNNNNNNNNNNNNNNNNNNNNNNNNNNNNNNNNNNNNNNNNNNNNNNNNNNNNNNNNNNNNNNNNNNNNNNNNNNNNNNNNNNNNNNNNNNNNNNNNNNNNNNNNNNNNNNNNNNNNNNNNNNNNNNNNNNNNNNNNNNNNNNNNNNNNNNNNNNNNNNNNNNNNNNNNNNNNNNNNNNNNNNNNNNNNNNNNNNNNNNNUGUGCAUACCAAAAAUAUUACUUAGAUUUAAUUCUGUUAGCCAUAAGAUCUCUGAUGCAUAAGAGAAAAAGUCGCCAAACGCGACAAAAUUUAUUUAUUUGUUAAACAUGAUAAUUUAAUUUCUUGAAGUAAAAUGUGAGGCGACUUGCUUCGAAAAGCAUGAUAAUAUACAUGGAGAAUUUGCAGCUAAGAUCUCUUCUGGUGAAAUUAUUACUAUUUUAUUUUAUUGACAAUCAUAGUGGCAAAUUUAAGUUAAUACAAACUUAAUGAUGUUUUUGUAAUAAUGAAGCAGAAUAUUAUGUAAGUUAUUUUUUCACACUUGUACUUUUUUUUAAAAAAACUUGGCUAUAUCAAGCAUAAUGUUCAACAGUCAUGGGGUGCUAAGUUUGCUUCUUCUAGAAUAAUUACUUGAGAGGAACACGAGUAAUCACAACCCUUGUCUGCACUUUAGCUGUCUGUUUGUAUGUAUUGUGAGACAGAUUGGCGACAAGCGGAGGCAGGCCUUGGUGCAGAGGAUGUGCUGGGCAGAGCAAAUCCAUUUUCAGGAACGGCUUACAUCCUUGACAACUCGUCGUCUCAUCCUCUUUAUGAUGAUCAGAUAAGACUACUAACUGAUUUGGAAAUUGGUAGAUUUAGGGCUUAAAUUUUGAGGUCAGCCGAUGAGAAAUUGACCUCAGGUGAUGAUCACGGCCUCAAAAGUCUAGUCUUUGGUUUAUGGAUUUGUUUUAGAUAGUUACAUGUUAACUUCAAUUUUGAAAUUACUGAAUUUCAUAGAUGGUAAAUUUUGGUUAGUAGAGCAAGCACUCACACUUACCACAAGAAUUUUCCCUCGUGAUUUUCUUUAGCAUAUUAUUGGUAUGUUUUAUCUGACCGUCUCUAUUCUCUAAAGUUCUUUACUUUGAACAUGCUCACAAGUCACAACACGUACUUUAUUUGCACUACAAAUCCUUCUUUUUUAUCUUGUAAUGUUUUCUAGGACGUUUGGAAGCUAAUUUGGAUGACUAUAAUUUUCUAGCAACAUGGUGGUCAAAGCAAUAUUCAAAUCCAAGCUCAACAUCUGGCUCACACCCGGAAACCGAUAGUAGAAGGAUGGAUGGGACCCCGAGACCUAUGGGAUUUGGUCCUAUGCAUGGUCUCAUUCUAAGACUUAUGUUGUCUAAGUCUCAACUUUAUUUUGUUCGAUGAAACUGAACAUUAAUAUGUUAUAUAAUAGUUUACUUAAAAAUUACAUUUGCACGACUACUAGGCUUAUAUUUUGACUUCAUAUUUCACUAGCGGAGNNNNNNNNNNNNNNNNNNNNNNNNNNNNNNNNNNNNNNNNNNNNNNNNNNNNNNNNNNNNNNNNNNNNNNNNNNNNNNNNNNNNNNNNNNNNNNNNNNNNNNNNNNNNNNNNNNNNNNNNNNNNNNNNNNNNNNNNNNNNNNNNNNNNNNNNNNNNNNNNNNNNNNNNNNNNNNNNNNNNNNNNNNNNNNNNNNNNNNNNNNNNNNNNNNNNNNNNNNNNNNNNNNNNNNNNNNNNNNNNNNNNNAGGCUUCACAAAAUUUCUAGCUUCGCCACUGCGGACAGGCUGAGGAAGCUGACGCCGUAGUGGCGCCAGCCGUCGCCGACAUCCACUUGGGAGUAGCAAAAGAAGCCGGAGAGCGUCUGCGGCGACCUCCUGCGGACGACCGGGUCGGAGCAGAGCGUCAGCCAUGCGGUGGACACGCACCUGAAGCGGCAGAGCGACCGGUACGGCACCCUCGACAGGAUCUCCGAGAGCAGGUCGCCCCAGAGGCUCUCCGCUGCCGGCGGAUUCUCCUCCUCCUCCUUCCUCUUCUCCAUCCCAAGGGGGUGCUGCGAAUGGCAGAGGCGCUUAGGGUUUUGAUGAGAUGCGCUUCGUCGAACCAAAGGUGAGGAGAAGGAGAGGGGAGGAGGGCGACAAACCUCACACCUCAAAGCGCGACGGGGAUGGCGGCGACGCACGGGACGACGGCGACGGCGGCAGAGAUGGCGGAGGCGAGCUGCUCUCACUAGAAAAAAAAAGACUCUGCUCCGUGUUUCCCCCGCCUCGGCCCAAGGAUAAAACACAAUUGUGGCGGCCUCUCGGCCCAAAAUGUGCCUUAGAUAGAUAGAGCACAUGAUUUUCUAAGCUCAAAAAAUAAAUGUUUUUCUAGGCACUUAAUUAGUUACUUGAGCCAAAAUGCAGGCCCCAUACUUUCAUCGGUAAUAAAAGAAAGAGAAAGUGGUGGCCUCACAAAGAUUAUGCUACAAUUGAACAUCAUGUUACAAAGAUUUUGCACUAAACUUUGCUGCAAAUAUUGUUGCCUCAAAGCGCGACGGGGAUGGCGACGACAGACAUGGCGGCGGCGGCGGUGCGUAUGGAGGCGAGCUGUCGAAACCAGAAGGGGAACUUCGCUCUCAGCCUCACACUGAGAGAACGCAAUCUGCUCCGUGUCUCCUGCACCUCGGCCCAAGGACCAAACCACACAAUUGCAGCAAACUCUCGGCCGAAAUUGUGCUUUAGAGCACAUUCCCUUUUCAUGGGCUCUGAAAAGAUGUUUUUUUGUUUUCCUAGGCUCUUAAUUACAGCACAGUUUGCAAGGAUUCCACUGGGAAAUAUCUAGACUCUUCGGGGUGUGACUGACCCAACAUCAUUGGAGGCUUUGGCUUGUCGAGAAGCGCUUGCACUUGCUCUUGACUUAUCACUUGAAGACAUACAGAUAGCUUCAGACUGUUAAGGUGUGAUUAAAGAUAUCCACGGAAAUAUAGAUGGGCUACCCUCUGACAUUAUUAAGGAGAUCAAUCUUACAUCUCAGCAGUUCUCUCGCUGUUCCUUCAUCUUCGAAGGAAGAGAAACUAAUCUUGAGGCACAUAGCCUCGCAAAACAUACUCUGGGCCUUUCUUUAGGACGCCACGUGUGGCUCCUUAAUCCGCCGGAUCUACAUUGUAUUCCUAUGAACCUUUAUAAUCAAUAAAGUCGAUUGUGUUUAGACUCAAAAAAAAUAAAAAUUGCUCCGGAAAAAGUUUCUCAAAAAAAAUUACUCUGGAAAAAAAUACAAAUCACAUAAUUUCAGCAAAAACAAAAUGGUUCCAUGAUGCCACCAGGAAGUACUAUAUGCUACACCCUUUGUUCCUAAAUGUAAGAGGUUCAAUCUUACAUCUAGGGUUUAGGAAAGAGGUGGUGCAAUUAAACGUUAUGGAUGUUGCGUUCAUAAUAUUAUCUUGGUUUGCAGUGUUGUUCUCGAUCCUACACAACAUGUAGCAUAUUGAUAAGACUGAAACAUGUUGUGUAGGAUCAAAGGUCAUGCUCACACAUACUGACGAAACUGAAACUGAAAUGGUCGUCUUGCACACACAUUUCUAGUAGCAUAUUCCUACCAAAAUGUACCCUAGACUAGACAUGUUGCAUCAACUUCAGUUCCAACUACUCCUAGAUACAAAUACUUAUGAUCUGGGCAGAGCCUCGGUCGGCCUCAGCUGGGGUUGUGCGUCUGGUCAUGCUCGAUCAAGUCCAUGGCCUGCUCCUUGGACACCACGUUUGAUGUUGCUCGCUCGCCCUGUUCUUGCGCGAUCUUGUCCGCCACCUUGAUGUAGCUCACCCUGUUCUUGAGCUCCGCCGCUAUGAACUGGGCGUCCGCCGGAUGCCGGACCACGCCUACAACACAACUUAAGGAAAGCAGCAGCAAAGAUUCGGAUGGAUGUCCUCAGCUCAGCAGCAGCUGUAUACCAUGUGUGUGAUUUAGCUCAAUGAACACACAAGGCAUUGGUGGGCAUGCACCCAGCUAGACAGACAAUAUAUGCAUGAAUAUAUAAAAGAUCUCUAUAAAACAAUAUAUGAUGACAUGUACACUACUGUUUACAAAGACUGAGAUGCCUUGGUUAUGCUCUGUUACUUCUCCAUCUGGCUUUGUGAAUCGUAAACAAAUGGAAUUCAGUUGACAUUGUUGAGGUUUGUGAUUCUACUCAACCUGUUUGAGCAUAACCAGUUACAUGACAGGCUACUUGCUAAUUUUCUUCAUCAUAAACCAAGUAUCCGUGGCCACCUUGCACUAGUUCAGAGAACACUUCACGGAAGUGCCUUGCAACUCCUUUAAAUGUGCGUUCAAUUGAUUCAUCCUUCCUUUGGUCUAAAACUGAUAUCAACUCUCUAAUUUUCUGCAAUACCAAUCAGUAGAUUUUUAUGAGAUUCUAGUCUGAGGACAAACAAAAGGGAAACAGGUUGUACUGAUCAAAAAAGCUUGCCUCGUCACCAGCAUCAAGUUCAGCCCGUCUUCUCUGCAGUUGUAUAAAACUUAUAAGGAGAGCACAGUAGCUUAUCAUUUCAAAUUUUGUUGAGAGAAUUUAUCAUCUGAAGUUAACUUCAUAAACUUAAGAAACGCACUACUGUUUACAAAGACUGAGAUGCCUUGGUCAUGCUUCUGUCCAGUCAUGCUUUUUUCUCUUCAACAGAGGCCUAGCUUGACAUGCUUCUGUGCUGACUGCUGACAUGUAUCCUGCUGCUAGCUGUGCUAAUUGCUAAACUGAAAAAUAUGAUGAAAUGCACACUACUGUUAACAAAGACAGAGAUAUUUUUUGGUCAUGCUCUAUCACUUCUCCAUUUGGCUUUAUGAAUCCACUCGACAUUGUUGAGGUUGAGCAUUUGUGAUUCUACUGAACCUGUUUGAACAUAAACAGCUACAUGAUAGGCUACUAGCUAAGUUGCCGUAAUAUUUGCUAUUCAGAUAAGCACUAAUGGAGUUACUGGCACACGUGCAAACGUAAGUUUCAAGGUGGAAGCUCUUCUUAAGGAAAUCAAGCAGGUUUGCUAAGUCUAUUCUCUAUUGUUACUCAGUGAACUACUCCCUCCGUUCCGAAUUACAAGGAGCCUGUUGUGUUUAAAAAGUGUAGCAUUACAAGGAGCCUGUUGUGUGAUAGAAUAGAAUAAUUGUACCCAUGUGUUGAAUGCUCGGGUGAACAAAUGAAUUGAGGCUAAUGUUACAAAUGAUGCAAAAGGUAGCAUCUCUCUGUCCCAGUGUCAUUGCCGUGUCAAUGAUUUCCUUAGUUUUUAUUUAUUUUAAAACAGCAUUCCUCAGUGUUUACAAAUGGCUUCAAUAUGACCGUGCUAAAAUGUACAUAUAUGAUGUGAAUAAAUGGAGGAAUAACGCGGUAUGCCAUGCUUGCAUCAUACUAUUAAAUUCUGGUUUAAUAUAAUUGUCGUUUCUUUAUUUUGCUGUAAAUGUUUGAACAUGUGACUGCAGGAAAGACCCCGCCACUAAAUUUCGUUGAAGUUAGAAACACUUACUAGGUUGAGCAAGAACUGUCAUGUUGAAGUCACUUCCUGGAUGAUACUCCCUCCGUUCCGAAUUACUUGUCUUGAAAAUUUGUCUAGAUAAAGAUGUAUCUAGACUCAUUUUAGUGCUAGAUACAUCCGUAUCUAGACAAAUCUAAGACAAGUAAUUCGGAACGGAGGGAGUAGAUCUUUCUGUUAUCACUAUGCAAUUGCAAGCAUACCUUUACCAAAAAAAAAUCCUAGUAGCUGCAUCGAAGUUUAUGAAUGCUGCUGAUUCUCCUUUUUUUUUGCAAGGACAUGGUCCUGAUUCAUGAACUACAUACAAGCCACAGCAUAUGACAGUGGUAUGACAGUCCAGUCAGGAAUUACUUGCAGAACUAAAAUGGCCAUGGACAAUUUACUCAGAACAAGGACACUGUAGGGUGUUAAGAGUGCUGGUGAUGAACAAUGAACCUGUGUGGCAUUACAUAACCAAUCUUCACUACGAACAGUGGUAUCACUGGAUGAGUUGUGCUAUUAUCUUCCCAUAAAAAGCAAAUAAAAUACAAUUCUGUUCUCAGACUAGCACGUGCUGGUAUUAUUUGUCACCAUGCAAACAGAUUUCGCUGAAGGAAUCUCCCAGUUUGUAUGUACAAGAACUUGAACAAUUUGAUGCAGGAUUCCAUGGUAUUAAAUGAGACGACAAAAGGAGAUAUCCAUUUCAAAUAGCAUAUGAGAGCACACUACUUUCAAACGCAUCAGAGAAGGAUGAUGUCUAUAAUUGAACUGUGAUGGAUAACAAGUUACAGUUACUUGAACUAAAUAAGUGGAUAGUGAUGGAUAACAAGUUACAGUUACUUCGCUAAACAAAUGGAUAGAAAGAGGAUUUAUCCAAUCCACCACCCUGAACCAAGGAAAUCUGGACCAUACCGACAUUUGAUUCUCAUGAAGUCACUGGAGGCAUGCCGUCUCAGCCAACAUGAAGCUGCUCCAAAAUUUACCGAGGCUUCUCCGCAAAACAGGGAACGUAUGGCUGAAAUCUUCGUGGCUGGCGGUCUCCGAGAGUGCAGAUAAUACUCAGUUUACUGGUAUCCAUAUCGUACGACAUGAGUGUUUUUUCACGGCUCGCUGCGCCUACUAGGAAGAUCAAACUGCACUCUGGAUGGAUCGCGAUCAGCGUGUAGUGUUCGCCGGGCUCAUGGUGAGGCCUUCCUAGCAUUUCUAAAAUGCUGGCGGUACACUUGAGGGUCCAUUGUCCGCUGGCAUAAUCCUCAAGAACCCAAACGGAUAGCCGGCAUCUACCUUCAGUUUCAACAUGCGUUGCGUAUAGGCGUCCUUGCGACUGCCCGAUGAAACCAUUAUAGAUGGAAUCCGGCAACCGGAUCUUCCUCCAUGUUUUACCCUCCAUGUCCACAGUCACCAUCCAGCGAAUCAGGUUCCCCUCCCAGUCAAAAUCGGCAUCAGAAUGGUCGGCGUCGACCAGAUGCAAAGUGCCGUUCAAGAAGACGCAUUCUGAAUCCUCGCCGAGGAGGAGGGUCUUGGGGCUCCACUCGCUCCGCAUGGAGGUCCACCGCCCGGUGUCCGAGGCAUAGGCCUCCACGGUCUGAAUCCCACGAAAGCUUUGCACGAACACGAACACCACGAAUCGGCUGGGGGCGGCGGGGUCGAAGCAGAGGCGGGCGGUGUUGAGGCGCGUCAUGAUCUUGUUUCGGGGCACGGGCAGCACGGCCCAGACCUCCUUGGUGGCGGGGUUGCACACGACGUAGUUGCCGUCGUCGCUCAUGGCCGCCUUCUCGCAGUAGCAGAGGAGGAUGCCGCCGCAGCAGUGCAGGGGCGUGACGUCGCAGUAGCCGCGCACGCGCACGAAGCGGAGGGAGGGGUCGUCGACCAGCGGCCGGCCCCACCCGGACAGGUUGAGGAAGCCGAGGGCGUCGCGGCGCUGGCCGCCGCCGACGUCGUGCUGGGAGUAGCAGAAGAAGCCGGAGAGCGUCUGCGGCGACCUCCUGCGGACGGCCGGGUCGGAGCAGAGCGCCAGCCAUGCGGUGGACACGCACCUGAAGCGGCACAGCGACCGGUACGGCACCCGCGACAGGAUCUCCCGGAGGAUCUCUGGGAGCAGGUCGCCCCCCCAGGGGCUCUCCGCCGCCGGCGGCUGCUUCUGCUCCUCGUCCUCCUCCGCCUUCUUCCUCUUCUCCAUCCCGCACCCCGGUGGCCGGGCUGCUCCUGCUGCGAAUGGAAUUUGUUCGCUUAGGGUUUUGAUGAGAUGUGGUCCUCCCGGACCCCUUCCUCGAGCCGAAGGUUAGGAGAAGGAGAGGGGAGCAGGGCGACAAACCUCACACCUCAAAGCGCGACGGGGAUUGCGGCGACGCACGGGACGACGGCGGCGGCGACGGCGGCGGCGGCGCGUACGAGAUGGUGGAGGAAGGGGGACACUCUGCUGUCUUUUUUUUUUUUUUUGAGAAAUAGGGACACUCUGCCGUCUGCUCCGUGUCUCCCGCAUCUUCGGCCCAAGAAUAAAACACAACUGCGGCGGCCUCUCGGCCCAAAAUGUGUUUUAGAUAGAGCACAUGAUUUUUCUAGGACCCCGAUAAAAUCCGAACGUUCGGAUUUUAAGCAUUUCAUCCCGAACAUUUUUACAUGACAACUUUAGUUGACGCGAGGUCGCAAUUUUAGUUGUUACUAGCAAAAAGACCCUUGCGUUGCAACGUGAGAAAAAAAUACCACACACUCUUAAUUCACGAAAAGUGGUAUAUAAUCUGAGAAUUUGUAGCUAUGACCCAAACAAAUGUGGUCUUAGCCUAGAAAAGCGCAGUUCAAGAUUCCACAUGUAUUAUGUUUCAACAUGUUCAUCCCCUAUCCGAAUCACUACCGGUAUGAAAGAAAGAAGGAUAAUGCAUUAUUGAUUAAGAUUGCACCCUAAUCACUAACUUAGAUUGUAUUUUCUUAAAUUGUUAACACGUAAAAUAACAACAUAUAUAUUCAGAUUCUACAUAUUUUUCUAAUCAAAAUUCAUAUAUAACAUGUUAAAUUUGGAGUUACUAGCAAAAGAGCCCCUGCGUUGCAACGGGAGAAAAAAAAGCCAAAAUUAGUGACGUUGCAAUAAUUUAUAUACCAGAAAAGGUGUAAUCAAAAGGAUAAUUUAUAAAUUACUAUUGAUCUCACAAAAAAGAAUAAUUUAUAAGUUGGAUGUGAAACAUAUUUUUUAAGUUCGCCGUGUGUGCCAUAACCCCUUGGCGUGCGGGGCGAAACAAGACGCGAGCAAGAUGCACUAUUGUCGCACUCUCUCCACUCUUCAUUCCCCCUCUCUCCUCCCUAUCUCACCAACGACAUCGAUGACAAGCAGAUUUGAGGUAUAAGUUGAUGGUCAGCAAGUACCGGCAGUGGCGGAGCCAGGAGAAACUUAAUCGGGGGGCCAACUGAUGUUAAAUCAUGUCGGGGAACACAAUAUUAGCAACAGGUAAUUAGUCAUGUAAUGGAAAAAUCUGCAUGUUGGCCUCGGCUGGGGCCCCUGCUCGCACCCCUGCCUCCGCCACAGAGUACUCAUGAGCCCCAAAUAUCUUCUCCCUUAAAAAGUAGUAUUUCUUUCCAAUUUUUCACUCACUUUUAAUUAGUCUAUUUGAUAAUGUAUUUGUAAGGUGUGGUAGGCAUGAAUAGUAAACUAUGAUAGUAACAACAAACAACAACAACAAGUAGUUAUAAUUGGUGCUCAUCCGGAAAACGAUGCUAGCACGCAUAGCAUCCAUCCAUGGUUUUGUAGGUUUUGUUUAUCAUUUUGAAAUAUUACCACCCUUGAAUGAAAUGAGCAAAUUUUGGAACUUUUUCCAAAGAUCUCAGGCGAAAUGAACAAUCCAAAAUUUGAAUUUUUGGACAAAAAUGGGAUGAAAUAUGAAAGAAAAACUAUCAAAAUUGUACAAAUAUUUUGUCUUGCAGCAAUGGAGUAAAGCAGAAUCAAACUGAAUAACACUAUCCCUUUAUUGAUAUACACCCACGAAUAGCUCACAGCAAUACAAUUAGCAGAAAUUCCACAUUACUUACUAUUCAUCUUGGUGUGAUUAGUACUACAUCCUAGGUCCCGUUUUAGCAAGAUGUGGCUGGAAUUGUUCCUUGGUGAUGUCGCUCGGAUGACCACGUCUGCAUCCAGCAGCUUCUAGUCCACAGUUGAUUAAAAAAAGCAACAGGCACCACCAAAUCCCCACCGAUGUCACCACCCACUGCGUGCCCCUUCUUAUCCACAACACGUCGCCAUUCCUCAUCACCCAAGCGCCGCUCCGCCUCCAUCUUCCUCCUGCUGCCUGACCACCCAUCGUUGCUCCUCCUCCUCUUCUCCUCUUCUCCAUCCGCCUCACACCCAAGUGUUGCUUUCCUGUUCUUGGCCGCGGUGGCUGGCCUGAGCCACAUCCCAGCUGACAGCGUCGGCGUGCUUUCUGGCUACGGCUGGGGCGUUGGUGGCCUGCUCGUCGGCGCACUCGGGCCGGGGCGGAGCCCCCUUCCUUGCAGUGGUGAUGGAGCCCCUCCUCCCGGAGGGUGGCUGGGGGCAACCGAGGUUGCGGGGCAGGUGUGCAGUGGCUCGGUUGCGCCAGAUCUGGCGGCUGGCCAGCACGCGCGGGGGGCGGUCUGGUGGUGGUGUUCGUCUGCCGGUGGCCACGGAUGUGGGAGUGCCGAAGCUGCCUCCGGUGAAAGCCCCUGGGCCCCGGUUUUCUCUUCCAUGAGCUGGUCUCUGUGUCAGCAAUGGGCAUCAAUUUUCUCUGUAUCUUUAGUUCGGCUCUCUCUCCUUCUUUAGGAUUAUUAGCUCAAAUGGCAAUUAAGACAUUUUUUUCUAUUAGGCUCGGUGCUUUUCUUUGGAUUCAUGUGCAUCUCCUCUUUGCUCAUUUUCAAUUGGUGACGCAUAUAGUAGAUGCGGCAGGCAGCUUUCUUGAUUUUUCUCUAGGGUAAACAUGAACAUCUCAUCCGCUUUUUGUUGGCUUGUUGAUCUUGUAAUGCAUGAAAUAAGUUGGUUGGAUUUUAUGUAAUAGAGCAGGUAGGACUAUUAAUUGGAAUCUGGAAUUUUAGCACAGGCACAAGACUUGGUUCCCAAGGCAGGAAGAGGAGGAGCUCGGGCGCGCUGGUGAGAGGAGCCGAAGUGGAACGGUGGUGCCGGGUGAUGCGGUCGCCGGCAUCGGCCGGCAUCGGAUUGAGCAUCACGUGGGCCGCGAGCCUAGCGGCUAGGAUCCGGAGGCGAGGAAGAGUCCGUCCUCAUGUCUGUUCAUGUUUUUUUUCUCCCUUUAAAAAAGGAGCGAAUGGAACGCUAGCAGGGCGGCGGGCACUUAAUUACUUGAGCCAAAAUGCAGGCCCCAUAUUUUCAGUAAAAGAAAAUAAAGUGGUGCCGUAACAAAGAUUAUGCUACAAUUAAACAUCAUGUUACAAAGAUUUUGCACUGAUACAUCUUUGGCUUGCAUAGAGCACUAUUCUUCAAAUAUUGUUGCUUCCUAGAGAAUGGUGCUUCUGCCUUCCGGGGCAGCACCACAUGAUGAUCAUGGAAAUUUUGUAGCGGCGCAAUACCCCCACAUGGACUCGGCAGCUAUGGCGGAGGCAAUUGCCCUGGGUUGCUACAAAAUUUAAAUUGAUUCAGACUGAAUUGAGUUAGUGGACACGAUGAAGAACGGAGGCAACUCACUCAGUGUUGCAGCUGCACUUAGUUUAUGAAGAAUGCUCCUUUCUAUGCAAGACUUUACGAAUGCCAAGUUCGAUCAUUGUCCUAUAAAAAGUUGCGCGUCUUUUGGCUUCUACUUCUAAGGUUUCUGCUGCUAAUAUGUGGCAACAGGAACACACAUAUUUUAUCUUAGCACAAUUAGCAAACUCUCCCCACUGAUCAAUGAAUUUGGUAGUCAAACUACCAACAUUCCAAAAAAACAAUCAGCAAACAAUUUAACUUUUAUGUCAACCGAAUAAAGUCACCAUGAUGUCUUUCCCUCAAAAAACUUAGCAACACAGAAAUUAUCAUGGUCAUGGUCUCUAUUUCUUUCGGCGCGUACUGACAAAACUAUUUAUAACACAUUCCAAGGUUUAGUCUUCAGAAGAGAAUCAUUCCCAACAUAUUCGAGUGUAUGACCUAGAUCUGUUGCAUCUAACUCCAGUUCCAACUAGAGACAAAUAUAACUCCAAACCACACACAUAACUCUUUAUCUAUCAGGUUAUCAGCAGGUUCCAGAUGCCGCUAAAACCUCGCAGUCGUAACCAAUGAAACAAGAGAAAUGAUGGACCAAAUUUUGCAGCAGUGCGGUACAAAUAGACAAAUCGAAAAACGCACAUCUCCAAUCACGCAAACGCUCCCUAAGCAUACUUAAACAAGAUUUAGUAAUCCAAAGGCUCCUACGCAUUCUUCAAGUUACCAGUCCAAAGGCUAACUAAAUAUACACAUCUACAUUAACAGUGGCCUACAAUGUCCACGAGUAGACCAACGGCAACACACACGCCCCCGUACGUAUCUUUCCUUUCCUGUGUAAACAUCUUGCU
Molecule: long non-coding RNA, 20587 nt
Filed under: Triticum aestivum (bread wheat)
Lineage: Eukaryota; Viridiplantae; Streptophyta; Magnoliopsida; Poales; Poaceae
Description: long non-coding RNA (TAES_LNC011797)
Rfam family: MIR1120/MIR1122 microRNA precursor family (bases 14169-14305)
Source: RNAcentral